This 1393-nucleotide long non-coding RNA is filed under the name Triticum aestivum (bread wheat). RNAcentral describes it as "long non-coding RNA (TAES_LNC007144)". The record is from RNAcentral. Lineage: Eukaryota; Viridiplantae; Streptophyta; Magnoliopsida; Poales; Poaceae.
AAAUGUACAAUAUAAUUGUUUUUGCACGAGAUGUUCCACUCCUAAUCCUAAUCAACUACAUAAUGAACUCCUUUUGCAUAAAUGAUUCCGUCUUCUGGUAUAUUUGGGUUACCGGAAUCUCUCGAGAUGAAAGCUUGAAGCAUGAUUCUGAAAUAUAGAGACACACAUACACCACAAGCAGUAGCAAAGUUUCAAUGCCACCCACGACACCAAAAAAAGUUAAGAUAGAAUAACACUUACAUGUAUAUUAGGUGAAUUCUCCAUAAGCUUGUGGAUGUAUUUAUUAAGCAGUAAGAUAGUUGGCAUUUUCCAUUAUGUCCAUCCUGAAGUCAUAGAUCUAUCACAACAAUAUGCAACUGAACUAUAUAAAGCAUAGCAGAAGAACAUAAAUUAGUACAUCUAUUAAGUUUAUCGGUUAAAUCAUCAUGACAAAAUUCCAUGUAAGAUGAGGCAUAAACUUUAUAUCAAACUGAAACCACCCUUUUAAACAUUUUGUUGACAAAGGACAAUUUUUAUUGUGUGGACGAUAGCUUUAUAUAUUUUACACGCUUCCAAUUAAUCAUGUUGAAGAAAUUUUUGAAAACGGACAAAAGACAAGGAGAGAAGUGAGGAUGCUGAUAUGGUAAACUAGGAUAAAGCAAUAAUGGAGAGAAUAUGUAAACUCACUUGUAACUUGUGACAUAGAUCUUACAGUGGAGAGGCCAGUUCUACAUGACUGGCCAUGGAGCGAGAGCAUGUGUACUCUAAUGCUACGGCAGGGACGCGAGGAAUCUUUUUUUAAGAACAAGCAACAAAGGAACACUGAAAUCUCAGCAAAAUAAGGCACCUAUGACUCAACCUGUCAACGGAAACACUAUUAUAGGAGAUGAAGUUUCACCGGGAGCAGCAACAUUUGUUCAACAGAAAUACUGCUUCUCAUUCAACUAGUUUGGCACCAACCUGCCAAUCAUCCUAGCUGGAUGCUACCACCAAGUGAGUAUAUGCAUGCACGUCUGGACUGUCAAAUAUGUAAAACAUUCACCACUGUUGUGGAGAGUUUACUCCUUUGUGAUGCUUGCGAAAGAGGUAUACACUUAAAUUGCCUUCAACAGUAUGGGAACAAAGGCAUGUCUAAUGCAGACUGGUAUUGCCCAAGAUGUGUAAUGUAUAGUAAGGGCAAACCUCCGCCUCCAAAUUAUGGCAAGAUUUCAAGAAAAAUUAUUGCACCAAAGGCUAGUGGUGUCACUUUUCUAGGAGGUUCAGAAAACCCACGCACAAAAGAUAAUAGUAAAAAAGUGGCAGCAAACAGAAAGUUCCAUCAAGCAGAACUCCAAUGAACCUGGUAGGUCUGUAUGUAACAGCGACAUAUUGGCCUUAGGCACUGCUAGUUCAUAAGCACAAUCGGCCUCUGCUU